RNAcentral lists this ribosomal RNA (519 nucleotides) under Triticum aestivum (bread wheat). RNAcentral's name for it is "partial small subunit ribosomal RNA". The record is from RNAcentral. Lineage: Eukaryota; Viridiplantae; Streptophyta; Magnoliopsida; Poales; Poaceae.
AUGACGCAGAAGAAGUACUCUCUGGAUUUGUUGCAGCGAGCUGGGAUGCUUAAGUGCAAACCGACGACUACACCCAUGUCUACCACUGAUAAGCUCAAUGCUGUUGAUGGUGUGCUUCUUUCUUCUUCUGAUGCGACAGAGUACAGGAGUAUUGUUGGUGGGCUCCAGUACUUGACGAUCACGCGACCAGACAUUUCCUAUGUUGUUAACCGAGUCUGCCAGUAUCUGCAGUCACCCCGUGACACUCAUUGGUCUGCUGUUAAGCGGAUUUUGCGCUAUAUUCGUUUCACGGUGGCUCAUGGUUUGCAUAUUCGGCCGUCUGACUCUGGUUGUCUUUCAGCAUAUUCUGAUGCAGACUGGACUGGCAAUCCGGAUGACAGGCGAUCCACGAGAGGUUAUGCUGUCUUCUUUGGCUCUAACCUGAUUGCCUGGAGUGCUCGGAAACAGGCUACUGUCUCGCGUAGCAGUACUGAGGCUGAGUAUAAGGCUGUGGCCAAUGCCACAUCAGAGAUCAUCUGA